UACAGUCCUAAAAUAUGCCGGAUAAUAAAAUCAAUAGAUUAAAAUCCAAAAAAUAUGGCGGUGUUUUUAUAUAAUCAGGGGAACCUGUUUCUUAAUUCGAUAGUCCACGAAAAUUCAACCUACUAUGAAUAUCAGCCUGUGUACUGCUGUCGUCAGUAGACCUAUAAAAGAAAGUUUACAAUUAAUUUCUCAAUUUUACGUCAAGUCAAAGUGCAGCUAAUAAGUAGGAGACAAUGGGUUACAAUCUCUAUAAAGAAUACGAAAUAAUAAAAUAAAAAUAUUAUAAAGGUGGACUUGAUAGUAAUAUUAAUAAAGUAAAAAUAUAAAAAUUUCUAAAACAUGUACACAUCGCCCGUCACUCUCAUCAAAAGACA
This 374-nucleotide ribosomal RNA is filed under the name Fridericia isseli. Its description in RNAcentral is "partial 12S ribosomal RNA". Lineage: Eukaryota; Metazoa; Annelida; Clitellata; Enchytraeida; Enchytraeidae. The record is from RNAcentral.